This 892-nucleotide unclassified non-coding RNA is filed under the name Hevea brasiliensis (rubber tree). The record is from RNAcentral. Lineage: Eukaryota; Viridiplantae; Streptophyta; Magnoliopsida; Malpighiales; Euphorbiaceae.
GCCAACCUCAAAGUCAGCCGGAAACCAUGGAAGGAGUUUGACGCCAUUGAAGAGGAGGGUCUUCUGGAUGGUGAUAUUCCCCCAUAUGGCUUGCCUCGUCGUUGCUAUUUUCUUGCUUUUGUUGUGGGCUUCUUUGUACUUUUCUGUGUGUUUUCGUUGAUUCUUUGGGGUGCAAGUCGACCUCAGAAACCUACAAUCAUUAUGAAGAGUAUAGUUUUUGAUCAAUUUGUAGUACAAGCUGGUUCGGAUUUCUCUGGAGUAGCUACAGAAUUGGUGUCCAUGAACUGCUCGGUGAAGCUCACAUUUCGCAACACUGCUACGUUCUUUGGGGUUCAUGUAAAAGCAACACCUUUAGAUCUAACUUACUCUCAGCUCACUGUAGCUACUGGAACCAUGAGAAAGUUCUAUCAAUCAAGAAAGAGUCAAAGAUCACUAACAGUAAAUGUAAAGGGGAGUAGUAUACCCUUGUAUGGUGGGGGAGUUAACUUGGGCAGCUUGAAUGGUGCGCCAACUCAACCAGUGCCAUUGACACUUAACUUCAUGGUUCGUUCAAGAGCUUAUGUUCUGGGCAAGCUGGUGAAGCCCAAGUUCUAUAAGAGGGUGGAAUGCACGGUGGUCAUGGACCCAAUGAAAAUGAAUAUGGCAAUUUCGCUCAAGAACAAUUGCACUUAUCAGUAAAAAUUAAUUCAAUUAUUAUAGUUACAUCUCCUUGAUCAUGCAUGAACUUGGAAGGAAACAAAAGGCUAGGGAGUUAUAUAUUAUUAUUUUUAUUAUUUAAUUUGUUAUAUAUUAUCUUAUAUUUUGGCAAUAUGUAAUCAAUUAUAAGUUUUGAUUCAGACAGAAGAUGGGGGGUGAGGGGAAGAUUGCAACCUCCUGAGAAAACAUAAACUGG